Diabrotica virgifera virgifera (western corn rootworm) is the source of this 536-nucleotide long non-coding RNA. RefSeq lists it as uncharacterized. Lineage: Eukaryota; Metazoa; Arthropoda; Insecta; Coleoptera; Chrysomelidae. The transcript has 2 exons. The record is from RefSeq and is a predicted model, not a curated record.
AAAUCAAAGAAUUACAACUUAAAAAAAUAGGUAUACAAAGUCAUAAGGUUUAGAAAUACAUUUCCAUAUUUUAAUCAGACAACAAUAUUGUUUUAGAAGGAAAACAUUGAUUAUGAUUAUGCUGAAAUAGUUUACUAGAGAGCUUGAACAAGAGGUAAAUCCAUUUUAAAUUAGAGGAAAACUGUUGAUUUGUAUGUAAAAUAGAAGACAAAGACAAGUUUAAAUAAAGACAAGCUAGCUAAUGAAACAGAUGCAGUGAUAUGACAAACACCUAGAAGAUGGAAUCCUGUGUUCUCAAAGAAAAAGCUAGUUCCAGAAAUAAGCUACCAAUAAUAAACUAGAGAAUGUAUUACAAGAAAGAACAACGCUAAUACCCAACAUAGCUCAAUUGCUUCAGAUAGAAAAAGAGGAGGAAAGGGUAGAACACAAGCGUGCCAGAGAAAAUUAAAGGGCAGAAGAGACACAAAAAUUCAUUGAUUUAUUAAAUUUAAUAAUUAAAUUAUACAAAGGACAAUUAAAUAAAGAAUAAAAAAUUA